RNAcentral lists this non-coding RNA (163 nucleotides) under Eutreptiella gymnastica. Lineage: Eukaryota; Euglenozoa; Euglenophyceae; Eutreptiales; Eutreptiaceae. The record is from RNAcentral.
CAAAACGCCGACCCACGGAGAAUUUAGAAACAUAAUGGAGUCCCUUGCAAUGACCGGCGAAUGCAUCGCCGACCUCAUUCCCGAGUACGGCGUCGUCCACCUGCAGAAUGCGCUGAGUGAAGACGAGCAGAAGGCUCUCUGGACCAGAACCAAACCGAAAGUC